UGUUCGGAAUUACUGGGCGUAAAGCGCGCGCAGGCGGCUAUCCAAGUCAGUGGUGAAAGCCCGGAGCUCAACUCCGGAACUGCCAUUGAAACUGUUUAGCUUGAGUAUGAGAGAGGUGAGUGGAAUUCCCAGUGUAGAGGUGAAAUUCGUAGAUAUUGGGAAGAACACCGGUGGCGAAGGCGGCUCACUGGCUCAUUACUGACGCUCAGGCGCGACAGCGUGGGGAUCAAACAGG
Molecule: ribosomal RNA, 235 nt
Filed under: uncultured bacterium
Lineage: Bacteria
Description: partial 16S ribosomal RNA
Rfam family: Bacterial small subunit ribosomal RNA
Source: RNAcentral